AAUCUUCCGCAAUGGACGAAAGUCUGACGGAGCGACGCCGCGUGUACGAAGAAGGCCUUCGGGUUGUAAAGUACUGUUGUUGGGGAAGAAGACCUAGAGUGAGAAUAUCGCUGUAGGCUGACGGUACCCAACGAGGAAGCCCCGGCUAACUACGUGCCAGCAGCCGCGGUAAUACGUAGGGGGCGAGCGUUGUCCGGAAUUAUUGGGCGUAAAGGGCGCGUAGGCGGCCGUUUAAGUCUGAUGUGAAAGUGCGGUGCUUAACGCCGUAGAGCAUUGGAAACUGGACGGCUUGAGGGCAGGAGAGGAAAGUGGAAUUCCUAGUGUAGCGGUGAAAUGCGUAGAUCUUAGGAGGAACACCAGUGGCGAAGGCGACUUUCUGGACUGUUACUGACGCUGAGGCGCGAAAGCGUGGGGAGCAAACAGG
This 424-nucleotide ribosomal RNA is filed under the name uncultured bacterium. Its description in RNAcentral is "partial 16S ribosomal RNA". It matches the Rfam family "Bacterial small subunit ribosomal RNA", at positions 360 to 776 of the family's 1533-position model. The record is from RNAcentral.